RNAcentral lists this ribosomal RNA (506 nucleotides) under uncultured bacterium. RNAcentral describes it as "partial 16S ribosomal RNA". It matches the Rfam family "Bacterial small subunit ribosomal RNA", at positions 29 to 523 of the family's 1533-position model. The record is from RNAcentral.
AGUGAACGCUGGCGGUAGGCCUAACACAUGCAAGUCGAACGGCAGCACAGGAGAGCUUGCUCUCUGGGUGGCGAGUGGCGGACGGGUGAGGAAUACAUCGGAAUCUACUCUGUCGUGGGGGAUAACGUAGGGAAACUUACGCUAAUACCGCAUACGACCUACGGGUGAAAGCAGGGGACCUUCGGGCCUUGCGCGAUUGAAUGAGCCGAUGUCGGAUUAGCUAGUUGGCGGGGUAAAGGCCCACCAAGGCGACGAUCCGUAGCUGGUGUGAGGAGAUGAUCGGCAACGCUGGAACUGAGACACGGUCCAGACUCCUACGGGAGGCAGCAGUGGGGAAUAUUGGACAAUGGGCGCAAGCCUGAUCCAGCCAUACCGCGUGGGUGAAGAAGGCCUUCGGGUUGUAAAGCCCUUUUGUUGGGAAAGAAAUCCAGCUGGCUAAUACCCGGUUGGGAUGACGGUACCCAAAGAAUAAGCACCGGCUAACUUCGUGCCAGCCGCCGCCGUAA